GACGAACGCUGGCGGCGUGCUUAACACAUGCAAGUCGAGCGGUAAGGCCCUUUCGGGGGUACACGAGCGGCGAACGGGUGAGUAACACGUGGGUGACCUGCCCUCAGCUCUGGGAUAAGCCUGGGAAACCGGGUCUAAUACUGGAUAUGACUCCAUGACGCAUGUUGUGGGGUGGAAAGCCUUGUGCGGCUGAGGAUGGGCCCGCGGCCUAUCAGCUUGUUGGUGGGGUGANGGCCUACCAAGGCGACGACGGGUAGCCGGCCUGAGAGGGCGACCGGCCACACUGGGACUGAGACACGGCCCAGACUCCUACGGGAGGCAGCAGUGGGGAAUCUUGCGCAAUGGGCGAAAGCCUGACGCAGCGACGCCGCGUGAGGGAUGACGGCCUCGGUGUAACGUACUUCUA
This 406-nucleotide ribosomal RNA is filed under the name uncultured bacterium. RNAcentral's name for it is "bacterial SSU rRNA". It matches the Rfam family "Bacterial small subunit ribosomal RNA", at positions 28 to 435 of the family's 1533-position model. The record is from RNAcentral.